GAGUUUGAUCCUGGAUCACAUUGAACGCUGGAGUGUUGCUUUACACAUGCAAGUCGAACGGCAGCAUAUGUGCUUGCACCUGAUGGCCAGUGGCCGAACGGGUGAGUAAUGCAUCGGAACGUGCCCAGUCAUGGGGGAUAACGCACCGAAUGCUGUGCUAAUACCGCAUACUAUCUAUGGAUGAAAGCGGGGGACCUUCGGGCCUCGCGAGAUUGAAGCGGCCGAUGUUAUAUUAUGUACCUGGUGAGGUAAAGGCUCACCAAGCCUACCAUCUAUAGCUGGUCUGAGACGACGACCAGUCGCACUGGAACUGAUACACGGUCCACACUCCUACUGGAGGCAGCAGUGGGGAAUUUUGGACAAUGGGCGAAAGCCUGAUCCAGCAAUACCGCGUGCAGGAAGAAUGCCUUCGGGUUGUAAACUGCUUUUGUACGGAACGAAACGGUCUAGAUUAAUACUCUGGGCUAAUGACGGUACCGUAAGAAUAAGCACCGGCUAACUACGUGCCAGCAGCCGCGGUAAUACGUAGGGUGCAAGCCUUAAUCCGAAUUACUGGGCGUAAAGCGUGCGCACGCGGUUUUGUAACACACGCUUGAAAUCCCCGGGCUCCACCUGACAAUUGCCCUUGUGACUGCUAGGCUAGAGUACAGUAGAGGGAGGUAGAAUUCCUCGUGUAGCAGUGAAAUGCGUACAUCUGCGGAGGAACACCCAUCGCGAAUGCAGCCCUCUGGACCUGUACUGACGCUCAUGCAUGAAGUCGUGGGAGCAAACAGGAUUAGAUAUCUGCGUAGUCCACCCUCUAAACGAUGUCAACUGGUUGUUGGGAAUUUACUUUCUCAGUAACGAAGCUAACGCGUGAAGUUGACAGCCUGGGGAGUACGGCCGCAAGGUUAAAACUCAAUGGAAUUGACGGGGACCCGCACCAGCGGUGGAUGAUGUGGAUUAAUUCGAUGCAACGCGAAAAACGUUACCUACCCUUGACAUGUGAGGAAGUUGUGAGAGAUCACUGGGUGCCCGAAAGGGAACCUCAACACAGCUGCGGCAUGGCCGUCGUCAGCUUGUGUCGUGAGAUGUUGGGUUAAGUCCCGCAACGAGCGCAACCCUCGUCAUUAGUUGCUACAUUUAGUUGAGCACUCUAAUGAGACAGUCGGUGACAAACCGGAGGAAGGUGGGGAUGACGUCAAGUCCUCAUGGCCCUUAUGGGUAGGGCUUCUCACGUCAUACAAUGGUGGGUACAGAGGGUUGCCAACCCGCAAGGGGGAGCCAAUUCCAGAAAGCGCGUUGUAGUCCGGAUUGUUCUAUGCAACUCGAGAACAUGAAGUGGGAAUCGCUAGUAAUCGCGGAUCAGCAUGUCGCGGUGAAUACGUUCCCGGGUGUUGUACACACCGCCCGUCACACCAUGGAAGUAGGCUCCACCAGAAGUAGCUAGCCCAACCGUAAGGAGGGCGGUUACCACGGUGAGGUUUAUGACUGGGGUGAAGUCGUAAGCAAGGUAACC
Molecule: ribosomal RNA, 1498 nt
Filed under: uncultured marine bacterium
Lineage: Bacteria
Description: bacterial SSU rRNA
Rfam family: Bacterial small subunit ribosomal RNA
Source: RNAcentral